AUUGAACGCUGGCGGCAUGCCUUACACAUGCAAGUCGAACGGCAGCACGGGUGCUUGCACCUGGUGGCGAGUGGCGAACGGGUGAGUAAUACAUCGGAACAUGUCCUGUAGUGGGGGAUAGCCCGGCGAAAGCCGGAUUAAUACCGCAUACGAUCUACGGAUGAAAGCGGGGGACCUUCGGGCCUCGCGCUAUAGGGUUGGCCGAUGGCUGAUUAGCUAGUUGGUGGGGUAAAGGCCUACCAAGGCGACGAUCAGUAGCUGGUCUGAGAGGACGACCAGCCACACUGGGACUGAGACACGGCCCAGACUCCUACGGGAGGCAGCAGUGGGGAAUUUUGGACAAUGGGCGGAAGCCUGAUCCAGCAAUGCCGCGUGUGUGAAGAAGGCCUUCGGGUUGUAAAGCACUUUUGUCCGGAAAGAAAUCCUUGGCCCUAAUACGGUCGGGGGAUGACGGUACCGGAAGAAUAAGCACCGGCUAACUACGUG
Molecule: ribosomal RNA, 486 nt
Filed under: uncultured bacterium
Lineage: Bacteria
Description: partial 16S ribosomal RNA
Rfam family: Bacterial small subunit ribosomal RNA
Source: RNAcentral